Molecule: ribosomal RNA, 495 nt
Filed under: uncultured bacterium
Lineage: Bacteria
Description: partial 16S ribosomal RNA
Rfam family: Bacterial small subunit ribosomal RNA
Source: RNAcentral
GACGAACGCUGGCGGCGUGCCUAAUACAUGCAAGUCGAACGCUGAAGGAGGAGCUUGCUUCUCUGGAUGAGUUGCGAACGGGUGAGUAACGCGUAGGUAACCUGCCUGGUAGCGGGGGAUAACUAUUGGAAACGAUAGCUAAUACCGCAUAAGAGUAGAUGUCGCAUGACAUUUGCUUAAAAGGUGCAAUUGCAUCACUACCAGAUGGACCUGCGUUGUAUUAGCUAGUUGGUGAGGUAACGGCUCACCAAGGCAACGAUACAUAGCCGACCUGAGAGGGUGAUCGGCCACAAUGGGACUGAGACACGGCCCAGACUCCUACGGGAGGCAGCAGUAGGGAAUCUUCGGCAAUGGACGGAAGUCUGACCGAGCAACGCCGCGUGAGUGAAGAAGGGUUUCGGAUCGUAAAGCUCUGUUGUAAGAGAAGAACGAGUGUGAGAGUGGAAAGUUCACACUGUGACGGUAUCUGAGCAGAAAGGGACGGCUAACUACGUG